GCCAUACUCUUUGCAACCAAACUGCACAUCAACCCUGGGCUUGAGCUCAGGUGACUUCUUGAGAUGAGCUUAUAUCUGUUGCUUGUGAGCUCCUCCUGGGCCUCGGAAUCCACACAGAAUGAAUGGCAAGAAGGCUCCACUACUUGGCCCAGGCCUUGCCUUGUGCUGGGUCAUACUCUCUGUGAUCAGCACUCUUCUCUGUUGAACACAUCAGCGCCAUCUGCCUUCCGUCUGCCUGGAGAGACUUGCCACAGUAGAGCUUCUUCAGCCUCACAUGAACCAGUGCAAAUGAUGUGCGUUCCUUUUGCUGAAGCCAUCAAAUAAAAAAGCU
RNAcentral lists this long non-coding RNA (331 nucleotides) under Mus pahari (shrew mouse). RNAcentral describes it as "lncRNA (MGP_PahariEiJ_G0012483.1)". Lineage: Eukaryota; Metazoa; Chordata; Mammalia; Rodentia; Muridae. The record is from RNAcentral.